Molecule: ribosomal RNA, 467 nt
Filed under: uncultured bacterium
Lineage: Bacteria
Description: partial 16S ribosomal RNA
Rfam family: Bacterial small subunit ribosomal RNA
Source: RNAcentral
ACGCACGCUGGCGGCGUGCUUAACCCCUGCACGUCGAACGGAAAGGCCCUGCUUUUGUGGGGUGCUCGAGUGGCGAACGGGUGAGUAACACGUGAGUAACCUGCCCUUGACUUUGGGAUGACUUCAGGAAACUGGGGCUAAUACCGGAUAGGAGCUCCUGCUGCAUGGUGGGGGUUGGAAAGUUUCGGCGGUUGGGGAUGGACUCGCGGCUUAUCAGCUUGUUGGUGGGGUAGUGGCUUACCAAGGCUUUGACGGGUAGCCGGCCUGAGAGGGUGACCGGCCACAUUGGGACUGAGAUACGGCCCAGACUCCUACGGGAGGCAGCAGUGGGGAAUAUUGCACAAUGGGCGGAAGCCUGAUGCAGCAACGCCGCGUGCGGGAUGACGGCCUUCGGGUUGUAAACCGCUUUCGCCUGUGACGAAGCGUGAGUGACGGUAAUGGGUAAAGAAGCACCGGCUAACUACGUG